GUCCAUGCCUUAAACGAUGAGGACUAGGUGUCGGGUCGCAAGACUCGGUGCCGCAGCUAACGCAUUAAGUCCUCCACCUGGGGAAUACGGCCGCAAGGUUGAAACUCAAAGGAAUUGACGGGGGCCCGCACAAGCAGUGGAGCAUGUGGUUUUAAUUCGACGCAACGCGAAGAACCUUACCUGGGCUCGAAAUGCUAGUGACACCCCAUGAAAGUGGGCUUCUCGCAAGAGACGCUAGUAUAGGUGCUGCAUGGCUGUCGU
RNAcentral lists this ribosomal RNA (261 nucleotides) under uncultured bacterium. RNAcentral's name for it is "partial 16S ribosomal RNA". It matches the Rfam family "Bacterial small subunit ribosomal RNA", at positions 793 to 1055 of the family's 1533-position model. The record is from RNAcentral.